Molecule: ribosomal RNA, 699 nt
Filed under: uncultured bacterium
Lineage: Bacteria
Description: bacterial SSU rRNA
Rfam family: Bacterial small subunit ribosomal RNA
Source: RNAcentral
CCCUGGUAGUCCACGCCGUAAACGAUGUCGACUUGGAGGUUGUUCCCUUGAGGAGUGGCUUCCGGAGCUAACGCGUUAAGUCGACCGCCUGGGGAGUACGGCCGCAAGGUUAAAACUCAAAUGAAUUGACGGGGGCCCGCACAAGCGGUGGAGCAUGUGGUUUAAUUCGAUGCAACGCGAAGAACCUUACCUACUCUUGACAUCCAGAGAACUUAGCAGAGAUGCUUUGGUGCCUUCGGGAACUCUGAGACAGGUGCUGCAUGGCUGUCGUCAGCUCGUGUUGUGAAAUGUUGGGUUAAGUCCCGCAACGAGCGCAACCCUUAUCCUUUGUUGCCAGCGAUUCGGUCGGGAACUCAAAGGAGACUGCCGGUGAUAAACCGGAGGAAGGUGGGGAUGACGUCAAGUCAUCAUGGCCCUUACGAGUAGGGCUACACACGUGCUACAAUGGCGCAUACAAAGAGAAGCGACCUCGCGAGAGCAAGCGGACCUCAUAAAGUGCGUCGUAGUCCGGAUCGGAGUCUGCAACUCGACUCCGUGAAGUCGGAAUCGCUAGUAAUCGUGGAUCAGAAUGCCACGGUGAAUACGUUCCCGGGCCUUGUACACACCGCCCGUCACACCAUGGGAGUGGGUUGCAAAAGAAGUAGGUAGCUUUACCCUUCGGGAGGGCGCUUACCACUUUGUGAUUCAUGACUGGGGUGA